AUAUCCAUACAAUCUAGCUUAUCAAUUAUAUGGAAAUAUAAAUUAAUCACCUAAAUAAGAAAGUCAGCAAAAUAAAAAGAAUUAGAAUAAUAUAUAUAUAUAUAUAUAUAGUCCGACUACUAUACUAUCGAUAGUACCAAGCCCUUGGUACUAUUGAGUUUUCUACCAUUAGAUCUACCCUUUGAUCAUUUCGACCCGUUAGAUUAUACUAUUAAACCAACCACCCACUCAACCCUAGGGGACCACUAUCAAUUUAACCAGGGACCACUAUCAUCCUAACCACACAUCCUUCAAUCCAACGGCCGAAAAACUCAAUAGUACCAAGGACUUGAUACUAUUGAUAGUAUAGUAGCAUAAUUCU
RNAcentral lists this long non-coding RNA (361 nucleotides) under Ananas comosus (pineapple). RNAcentral's name for it is "long non-coding RNA (ACOM_LNC041746)". The record is from RNAcentral. Lineage: Eukaryota; Viridiplantae; Streptophyta; Magnoliopsida; Poales; Bromeliaceae.